Molecule: long non-coding RNA, 322 nt
Organism: Platichthys flesus (European flounder)
Lineage: Eukaryota; Metazoa; Chordata; Actinopteri; Pleuronectiformes; Pleuronectidae
Exons: 3
Source: RefSeq, a predicted model, not a curated record
AUCGAUAAAACAAUCAAUCGAUCCCGAGCUCUCGUCCUCAGCAGCUUCAGGUUUUCAGAUCUCUGCUGCAAACUGUUGAAUGUUCAGCCGGCAAAAUGUCUGCACCUGAUAGAUGAGACUGGAGACGAGCAGCGGAGUUCUGAAUGUUCCGGAAUCAUGUUGAAAUCAAAUCCACUGAACGAGAGGAGGGUCGUGAGGAAUGAAGGGAGGCGUCGCACAGACCUGGAGAAGAAGAGCAGAGAGACCCGCAGCUUCACAGCGAAGAAGAAGAGGAGGAAGAGGAGGAAGAGGAGGAAGAAGAGGAAGAGGAGGAAGAGGAGGA